This 183-nucleotide ribosomal RNA is filed under the name Triticum aestivum (bread wheat). Its description in RNAcentral is "partial small subunit ribosomal RNA". The record is from RNAcentral. Lineage: Eukaryota; Viridiplantae; Streptophyta; Magnoliopsida; Poales; Poaceae.
AUGGCUCGGAAGGAUCUCUCCCGUCGCCGGCGGGCCUGCGACGAUGACCGUCUCAGCGCGCUCCCUGACGACCUGCUCCUCCUAAUCCUGCGCCGUCUCGACAGCCGCACCGCACACGGCGCCGCGGCGCUCUCCAAGCGCUGGGCUCACCUCCCCCGGGAGAUCACCGCCCUGGAUCUCAAA